CUGUUUUCUUCUCCAUUCACGCCUCUUAUCGCCAUUUUCUUCUGUGCUUGCCCUUUCCUUUUGUUCUUUUGAUCUCUAACCCUUUUCCUUAGCUUUGUUGCUUAGUGAUUUAUCUCCUCUUUUUUUUAUGCUUUGUUUGAAAUUAGGGUUCUAAUGAAGAAUGGCGAAAUCUCUUAGUGAUUUAUCUUAGGUUCCAAUGAAGAAUCGCGAAAUGGCGAAAUUACUAUCGAAUCAAGGAAAUUCAGUUCCUCAUUCAUAAUUUCUUGAUUCUUGUUAAAGUGUUGAUGAAGAUUGGGUAUUGACGAAAUCAAUUCUUCUUGAAUUAUCGACGAAAUCAAAUCUUGAUCACCAUAAACAGCUAAGCAUCGAAGAAGAACAUUUGAGUCAUGCAAAGGUUCAAGCAAAAAUUGUAGAUUUAACUGUAAAGAAUGAUCUGUACUCUUAAUUUUGGUUGAUUUUCACUUUUCAAACUGUAAACUUAACUUUACUGUCUUCUCCCUAUUUUUUUCAUUGUUGCAUAUCACCAUAACAGAAAUUGUAGAUUUUAGUUUAAAUUCUUUCUCAUGAACAAAAUUUAUACAGGUAAGUCAUUAAUGUUGAUCAUUUGAUUUCUUUAUUACUUAUAAAAAAUCAUUUAAUCC
Molecule: long non-coding RNA, 641 nt
Organism: Amaranthus tricolor (Joseph's coat)
Lineage: Eukaryota; Viridiplantae; Streptophyta; Magnoliopsida; Caryophyllales; Amaranthaceae
Exons: 3
Source: RefSeq, a predicted model, not a curated record